Molecule: ribosomal RNA, 635 nt
Filed under: Hansenula anomala
Lineage: Eukaryota; Fungi; Ascomycota; Saccharomycetes; Phaffomycetales; Wickerhamomycetaceae
Description: eukaryotic LSU rRNA
Rfam family: Eukaryotic large subunit ribosomal RNA
Source: RNAcentral
UUGACCUCAAAUCAGGUAGGACUACCCGCUGAACUUAAGCAUAUCAAUAAGCGGAGGAAAAGAAACCAACAGGGAUUGCCUCAGUAACGGCGAGUGAAGCGGCAAAAGCUCAAAUUUGAAAUCUAGCACCUUCGGUGUUCGAGUUGUAAUUUGAAGAUGGUAACCUUGGGUUUGGCUCUUGUCUAUGUUCCUUGGAACAGGACGUCAUAGAGGGUGAGAAUCCCGUCUGAUGAGAUGCCCAUUCCUAUGUAAGGUGCUAUCGAAGAGUCGAGUUGUUUGGGAAUGCAGCUCUAAGUGGGUGGUAAAUUCCAUCUAAAGCUAAAUAUUGGCGAGAGACCGAUAGCGAACAAGUACAGUGAUGGAAAGAUGAAAAGAACUUUGAAAAGAGAGUGAAAAAGUACGUGAAAUUGUUGAAAGGGAAGGGCAUUAGAUCAGACUUGGUGUUUUACGAUUAUCUUCUCUUCUUGAGUUGUGCACUCGUAUUUCACUGGGCCAGCAUCGAUUCGGAUGGCAAGAUAAUGGCAGUUGAAUGUGGCUUCACUUCGGUGGAGUGUUAUAGCUUCUGCUGAUAUUGCCUGUCUGGAUCGAGGGCUGCGUCUUUUGACUAGGAUGCUGGCGUAAUGAUCUAAUGCCGC